Tupaia belangeri chinensis (Chinese tree shrew) is the source of this 1227-nucleotide long non-coding RNA. RefSeq lists it as uncharacterized. The record is from RefSeq and is a predicted model, not a curated record. The transcript is spliced from 3 exons. Lineage: Eukaryota; Metazoa; Chordata; Mammalia; Scandentia; Tupaiidae.
AGAAGGAACAAGAAGUCUUGUGUCUGGCUGGGCUUAUGUCGGCAAGACCUCUUAGGUGGCCCCAGUAGUGGGCAAAGUGGGCAGCUGCACCCAUGUUCUCCCGCAGGUGCCUGGAUUCGACCUUGAACAGAGACCCCAACUGCCCAGCCUGUCCACUACCUGUCUCAGGAUGGGCAGUGCAGAGUGGAUGACACGGGACACUGUGGCCCGACGUGUACAUAGCCUGGCGGGGUGCCUGGUGGGCCCAGGCCCUGGAGGAGCUUGGCCAUGGCUGUGGAGCCCUGCUGUCCCAGCUCCUAUCUCUCUGGAGUCCCAUUGGAGGCUGUUAGUCCAGGUUCUCUGAAGAAGCAGAAGCAACAGGACACGCACACAGCUGAUGUAUUGGAGGAGCCGGCUCGUGAGGUCCCCACACCCGCGCCUGACAAGCUGGAGCCCAGGGGAGGGACAGCACGGCUCCCACAAAGUAUCAGGAGACUGGAGACCCGCAGAGGCUGGUGGUGAGCACUGUGUGCAUGCCAUGUUGAAACCGGAGCCCAGUGCGAUGGCAUAGGAGGUGGGGCCUCUGGGAGGGGACCUGGUCAUGAGGGUGGAGCAGGGACCUGACAAGAAGAGACAGGAGGCUCUCUGCCCACUCGGGGGAGGCUGGGUAGGGGCUGCUCUCUCCCUGGGGCUCUCUCUCUCUCUCCCCUCCCUCCACCCCGGCUUCUGUUGAAGGCUCUAGCUUUCUCCUCAGAGGCUGGCUUGCCCCUCCACCAGCGCUGCCCCCAACUUGAGCAAGACCCCAGGAAACUCCCAGUUGGCUCUGUUGACCCCAUUCGAUCGGGCAGCGAAUUAGGUCUUGGUGUCUCCAUGCCCACGCAAGGCAUUUGAAGGCCGCCUCUCUUUAGAGAGCAAUGGGGGGGUCUACCUGGUCGAAUGGUGUCCCCCAAAUUCCUGUCCACUUGGGACCUCAUAAUGUGACCUUUGGAAGUUGUCUCUGGGAUGUAAUUAGUCAGGACAAAGUGACACUGCAUCAGAUGGACCCUAAAUCCAACAACCGGUGUCCUUGAGAGGAGAGGACAGAGACAGCUGCAGAGUGGCCACAAAGAGAGGUCGGCAAAGGUUAGUGUGACCUCGAACCACCAGGAAGGUGCGAGGAGGGGCCUUCCCAGGAGCCUUGGGAGGGAACACGGCCCAGCCAGUUCCCCGAUCUCAGACUUCCGGCCCCCAGAACUGCGAGAACGUGUG